GAUGAACGCUGGCGGCGUGCCUAAUACAUGCAAGUCGAGCGAACGGACGAGAAGCUUGCUUUUCUGAUGUUAGCGGCGGACGGGUGAGUAACACGUGGAUAACCUACCUAUAAGACUGGGAUAACUUCGGGAAACCGGAGCUAAUACCGGAUAAUAUUUUGAACCGCAUGGUUCAAAAGUGAAAGACGGUCUUGCUGUCACUUAUAGGUGGAUCCGCGCUGCAUUAGCUAGUUGGUAAGGUAACGGCUUACCAAGGCAACGAUGCAUAGCCGACCUGAGAGGGUGAUCGGCCACACUGGAACUGAGACACGGUCCAGACUCCUACGGGAGGCAGCAGUAGGGAAUCUUCCGCAAUGGGCGAAAGCCUGACGGAGCAACGCCGCGUGAGUGAUGAAGGUCUUCGGAUCGUAAAACUCUGUUAUUGGGGAAGAACAUAUGUGUAAGUAACUGUGCACAUCUUGACGGUACCUAAUCAGAAAGCCACGGCUAACUACGUG
This 497-nucleotide ribosomal RNA is filed under the name uncultured bacterium. Its description in RNAcentral is "partial 16S ribosomal RNA". It matches the Rfam family "Bacterial small subunit ribosomal RNA", at positions 28 to 507 of the family's 1533-position model. The record is from RNAcentral.